AUGCAAAUUAUUUUGCCUUGUAAUAAAAAAACCUUGCAUUCAUGUACCGCUUGAUGCAUUGGUAAGAAUUCCUAAUAUAUUUGAUUUUUGGUUCUAGACAUUUUAAAUGUUAUAGAUUAUAAUUAAUGGUGUUGAUUGUCGGUCCUUGGGUUUUUGACAAUGGAGCCCAUCAAGAUGCAGCCAACUGUAGUUCAUAAUUUAAAAGGAGGCUGCUUGACAGGAUUGAGCAGAUCUUACAGUUGGGACAAUUAGGGGGCACAUACUGAAAAGGAUAAGAGAGAGAGCUUAGUAAAGUUGUAAAAUGUAGAGGCUGAUGGUAGAGAUAAAAGAACAAUGAACACCUAGCAUGACCUUCCCAGAGAUUUGCUUAUUC
RNAcentral lists this long non-coding RNA (373 nucleotides) under Phoenix dactylifera (date palm). RNAcentral's name for it is "long non-coding RNA (PDAC_LNC023116)". Lineage: Eukaryota; Viridiplantae; Streptophyta; Magnoliopsida; Arecales; Arecaceae. The record is from RNAcentral.